This 248-nucleotide ribosomal RNA is filed under the name uncultured bacterium. RNAcentral's name for it is "partial 16S ribosomal RNA". It matches the Rfam family "Bacterial small subunit ribosomal RNA", at positions 86 to 334 of the family's 1533-position model. The record is from RNAcentral.
AGAUGGCGACCGGCGCACGGGUGAGUAACACGUAUCCAACCUGCCGAUAACUCGGGGAUAGCCUUUCGAAAGAAAGAUUAAUACCCGAUGGUAUAAUUAGACCGCAUGGUCUUGUUUAUUAAAGAAUUUCGGUUAUCGAUGGGGAUGCGUUCCAUUAGGCAGUUGGUGAGGUAACGGCUCACCAAACCUUCGAUGGAUAGGGGUUCUGAGAGGAAGGUCCCCCACAUUGGAACUGAGACACGGUCCAA